AGUGAACGCUGGCGGUAGGCCUAACACAUGCAAGUCGAACGGCAGCACAGUAAGAGCUUGCUCUUACGGGUGGCGAGUGGCGGACGGGUGAGGAAUACAUCGGAAUCUAUUUUUUCGUGGGGGAUAACGUAGGGAAACUUACGCUAAUACCGCAUACGACCUACGGGUGAAAGCAGGGGAUCUUCGGACCUUGCGCGAUUGAAUGAGCCGAUGUCGGAUUAGCUAGUUGGCGGGGUAAAGGCCCACCAAGGCGACGAUCCGUAGCUGGUCUGAGGGGAUGAUCAGCCACACUGGAACUGAGACACGGUCCAGACUCCUACGGGAGGCAGCAGUGGGGAAUAUUGGACAAAGGGCGCAAGCCUGAUCCAGCCAUACCGCGUGGGUGAAGAAGGCCUUCGGGUUGUAAAGCCCUUUUGUUGGGAAAGAAAAGCAGCAGGUUAAUACCCCGCUGUUCUGACGGUACCCAAAGAAUAAGCACCGGCUAACUUCGUG
RNAcentral lists this ribosomal RNA (492 nucleotides) under uncultured bacterium. RNAcentral describes it as "partial 16S ribosomal RNA". It matches the Rfam family "Bacterial small subunit ribosomal RNA", at positions 29 to 507 of the family's 1533-position model. The record is from RNAcentral.